Molecule: non-coding RNA, 81 nt
Organism: Helianthus annuus (common sunflower)
Lineage: Eukaryota; Viridiplantae; Streptophyta; Magnoliopsida; Asterales; Asteraceae
Source: Rfam
CAUCAAGUGAUGAGAAAUAUAACUGCAACAAAAUGAUCGACUAUUUGUUCGUGAUUAUUGGUAUUUAAGUCUCUGAUGAUG